GGCUCGGUGGUCCAGGGCUGUGAUUCUCGCUUUGGGUGCGAGAGGUCCCGGGUUCAAAUCCCGGCCGGGCUC
RNAcentral lists this transfer RNA (72 nucleotides) under Nephila pilipes (giant wood spider). It matches the Rfam family "tRNA". Rfam says of the family: Transfer RNA (tRNA) molecules are approximately 80 nucleotides in length. Their secondary structure includes four short double-helical elements and three loops (D, anti-codon, and T loops). Lineage: Eukaryota; Metazoa; Arthropoda; Arachnida; Araneae; Nephilidae. The record is from Rfam by way of RNAcentral.